Molecule: ribosomal RNA, 319 nt
Filed under: uncultured bacterium
Lineage: Bacteria
Description: bacterial SSU rRNA
Rfam family: Bacterial small subunit ribosomal RNA
Source: RNAcentral
CCUGGCUCAGGAUGAACGCUAGCGGCAGGCCUAACACAUGCAAGUCGAGGGAGGAGCUUUCGGGCUUCGACUGGUGUACGGGUGCGUAACGCGUAUACAAUCUGCCUUUCACAUAGGGAUAGCUCGAAGAAAUUUGGAUUAAUACCUAAUGGUAUAUAGAGGUGGCAUCAUUUUUAUAUUAAAGCUGAGGCGGUGCAAGAUGAGUAUGCGUUCUAUUAGCUAGUUGGGGAGGUAACGGCUCCCCAAGGCGACGAUAGAUAGGGGUUCUGAGAGGGAUAUCCCCCACACUGGUACUGAGAUACGGACCAGACUCCUACGG